Molecule: transfer RNA, 34 nt
Filed under: Secale cereale subsp. vavilovii
Lineage: Eukaryota; Viridiplantae; Streptophyta; Magnoliopsida; Poales; Poaceae
Description: tRNA-Lys
Source: RNAcentral
UUUUAUCUGCCGGGUUCGAGUCCCGGGCAACCCA